CGCGAUGCCGUGCUUGAACUCUAGG
This 25-nucleotide non-coding RNA is filed under the name Drosophila melanogaster (fruit fly). Lineage: Eukaryota; Metazoa; Arthropoda; Insecta; Diptera; Drosophilidae. The record is from RNAcentral.